This 253-nucleotide ribosomal RNA is filed under the name uncultured bacterium. RNAcentral's name for it is "partial 16S ribosomal RNA". It matches the Rfam family "Bacterial small subunit ribosomal RNA", at positions 524 to 776 of the family's 1533-position model. The record is from RNAcentral.
AACGUAGGAGACGAGCGUUAUCCGGAAUCACUGGGCGUAAAGGGUGCGUAGGCGGCGCGGUAAGUCGGGUGUGAAAUCUCGGAGCUUAACUCCGAAACUGCAUUCGAUACUGCCGUGCUUGAGGACUGGAGAGGAGACUGGAAUUUACGGUGUAGCGGUGAAAUGCGUAGAUAUCGUAAGGAAGACCAGUGGCGAAGGCGGGUCUCUGGACAGUUCCUGACGCUGAGGCACGAAGGUCAGGGGAGCAAACGGG